GGCUCAGGAUGAACGCUAGCUACAGGCUUAACACAUGCAAGUCGAGGGGCAUCACAGUGUAGCAAUACGACGGGUGGCGACCGGCGCACGGGUGCGUAACACGUAUCCAAUCUGCCCGUUACUCGGGGAUAGCCUUCUGAAAGGAAGAUUAAUACCCGAUGGCAUGUAUUUCCGGCAUCGGAGAUACAUUAAAGAUUUAUCGGUAACGGAUGAGGAUGCGUACGAUUAGCUGGUUGGCGGGGUAACGGCCCACCAAGGCUACGAUCGUUAGGGGUUCUGAGAGGAAGGUCCCCCACACUGGAACUGAGACACGGUCCAGACUCCUACGGGAGGCAGCAGUGAGGAAUAUUGGUCAAUGGACGCAAGUCUGAACCAGCCAUGCCGCGUGCAGGAAGACGGCUCUAUGAGUUGUAAACUGCUUUUGUAUGAGGGUAAACCUAGGUACGUGUACCUAGCUGAAAGUAUCAUACGAAUAAGGAUCGGCUAACUCCGUG
Molecule: ribosomal RNA, 494 nt
Filed under: uncultured bacterium
Lineage: Bacteria
Description: bacterial SSU rRNA
Rfam family: Bacterial small subunit ribosomal RNA
Source: RNAcentral